AUCAUUCAAAAGUCAGUUCAGAGAUUAGCCCAGAGGACCAGCUGUGGAGCUUCUCAGCAAAAGAUUCAUUGUUUCUUGACAUCUUCACCAAUUUCAGAAGAGAGUUUCAGGUCCUAUUGGACCUGAGGGAGCAGUACUCAAAGGCCUUUGAUCAGGGUGAGAUUCUGCUCUCUCUAUGUUUGACCAACUUCAAUGGGUUGCAAGGGCUUCGAUAGAGAUCUAUCUGCUUGUUGCCUCAAGACCACCAAUGUGACUAUAUAACCACCAAUAUAAUUGUGUAUCUUGUUCUGUGCCACC
RNAcentral lists this long non-coding RNA (297 nucleotides) under Monodelphis domestica (gray short-tailed opossum). RNAcentral's name for it is "lncRNA (ENSMODG00000044420.1)". Lineage: Eukaryota; Metazoa; Chordata; Mammalia; Didelphimorphia; Didelphidae. The record is from RNAcentral.